Molecule: long non-coding RNA, 251 nt
Filed under: Pan troglodytes (chimpanzee)
Lineage: Eukaryota; Metazoa; Chordata; Mammalia; Primates; Hominidae
Description: long non-coding RNA NONPTRT007220
Source: RNAcentral
GGGGUCCCCCGGGGGCUGUGCUGAGGACGGCCUGUGGCAGGGCCACUCCACACCCCUCAGCGUCCGGGCCACACAGACACAGAACGCGAGAGAGAGACUGACCCACCCACGCACCGGUACCCAUAGACGCAGAGACCGAGGCAGAAAUGACGGGAUUGCCGCAGACCGGCCAGGAGCAGGGACAGACAGCGGCUCCGCAGACUCUGCUUCCUGAGGCAGUGACUUUGCUCAUCGUUGUCCCUGCGGUAUCG